UACGGAGGAUUCGAGCGUUAUCCGGAUUUAUUGGGUUUAAAGGGUGCGUAGGCUGUCGGAUAAGUUAGAGGUCAAAUGUCGGGGCUUAACCCCGUGCCUGCCUCUGAUACUGUUCGACUGGAGAGCGGAUGCAGCAGGCGGAAUGAGUAGUGUAGCGGUGAAAUGCUUAGAUAUCACGAAGAACUCCGAUUGCGAAGGCAGCUCACUGGACUGCAACUGACACUGAGGCUCGAAAGUGUGGGUAUCAAACAGG
This 253-nucleotide ribosomal RNA is filed under the name uncultured bacterium. RNAcentral's name for it is "partial 16S ribosomal RNA". It matches the Rfam family "Bacterial small subunit ribosomal RNA", at positions 524 to 776 of the family's 1533-position model. The record is from RNAcentral.